RNAcentral lists this ribosomal RNA (439 nucleotides) under Staphylococcus aureus. RNAcentral's name for it is "bacterial SSU rRNA". It matches the Rfam family "Bacterial small subunit ribosomal RNA", at positions 210 to 641 of the family's 1533-position model. The record is from RNAcentral. Lineage: Bacteria; Bacillati; Bacillota; Bacilli; Caryophanales; Staphylococcaceae.
UGCUGUCACUUAUAGAUGGAUCCGCGCUGCAUUAGCUAGUUGGUAAGGUAACGGCUUACCAAGGCAACGAUGCAUAGCCGACCUGAGAGGGUGAUCGGCCACACUGGAACUGAGACACGGUCCAGACUCCUACGGGAGGCAGCAGUAGGGAAUCUUCCGCAAUGGGCGAAAGCCUGACGGAGCAACGCCGCGUGAGUGAUGAAGGUCUUCGGAUCGUAAAACUCUGUUAUUAGGGAAGAACAUAUGUGUAAGUAACUGUGCACAUCUUGACGGUACCUAAUCAGAAAGCCACGGCUAACUACGUGCCAGCAGCCGCGGUAAUACGUAGGUGGCAAGCGUUAUCCGGAAUUAUUGGGCGUAAAGCGCGCGUAGGCGGUUUUUUAAGUCUGAUGUGAAAGCCCACGGCUCAACCGUGGAGGGUCAUUGGAAACUGGAAAAC